Molecule: ribosomal RNA, 432 nt
Filed under: uncultured bacterium
Lineage: Bacteria
Description: partial 16S ribosomal RNA
Rfam family: Bacterial small subunit ribosomal RNA
Source: RNAcentral
AACGAACGCUGGCGGCAUGCCUAACACAUGCAAGUCGAACGAGACCUUCGGGUCUAGUGGCGCACGGGUGCGUAACGCGUGGGAACCUGCCCUUAGGUUCGGAAUAACUCCCCGAAAGGGGUGCUAAUACCGGAUAAUGUCUUCGGACCAAAGAUUUAUCGCCUUUGGAUGGGCCCGCGUUGGAUUAGCUAGUUGGUAGGGUAAAAGCCUACCAAGGCGACGAUCCAUAGCUGGUCUGAGAGGAUGAUCAGCCACACUGGGACUGAGACACGGCCCAGACUCCUAGGGGGGGCAGCAGGGGGGAAUUUUGGACAAGGGGGGAAAGCCUGAUCCAGCAAUGCCGGGUGGGUGAUGAAGGCCUUGGGGUUGUAAAGCUCUUUUACCCGGGAUGAUAAUGGCAGGACCGGGAGAAAAAGCCCCGGCUAACCCCGU